AUGUUUUUAAUUAUCCCUUUCACUCUUUACCAUUUGAUUUCUUUUCAAGCCGAUGGCUGGGGAAUACACAGCUGGGGAGAUAAUAAAGCCUUCCUGUGGCAAUUAUCGGUGCUCAGGCCACCGUAUCUCGUUAUUUUGAUAGACAGUGAACUUGGCGCGGUUGCCGGCCGGGUUCACGCAGAUGUCACGGUCCGUGCUGUAGGUCACAAGCAGGUCAGCGCCCGGCAAGAGGAGAGCGCCGGGUCAGGGCGCGGCCGCCGCUCCCGGCCAGCACCGGCCGGGCCCGCCGCGAACCCCGAGGGGCUACCGCCUCCGGGGCCUGGGGAGUACCCUCCGGGGGGGGGUUCCCUCCUGGGCAAGGGGCUGCGGAGGCGGGCAGCCCCGCUUCGGCAAGGCAUCGUAAGAGGAGGGCGGGUCUCGUGUGAUGCGUUGAUUGUUAGAAAAAUAAUAAUUAAAAGUGACAUCUCUCUCCCCUACACAGACACGCACACACAAAACUUCCAGCGUUUAUUGAGCUUGUCUGGGAACAAGAAAGCAAAAGUAACAGGGAGGGAAGAGAUAAAAACCGUAAAGAAAAAAAAGUGUAUUGGCAGCAGCUGUGGCUGGCGGAGAGCUCCACGGCCCCGCAGCCGCCGUCCGCGCCGGGCGCCCCUUCCCCAGCGGCCGGCGGCUCCUCCGCCGGUACCCAGCAGCAGCCCCAUCCAGCGCAGCCCUCCCGCAGCCCCGCUCCCACCGCGCUCCUCCUGCCCGGAGCCGCCGCUGACGCCCGGAGCGCAGCGCCGGUGCCCGCCCGCCGGUGCCAGCACGGAGCCCCUCUGCGCCGCGGCUGCAGGCGAGGUGCCCCGCCGUGCCAAGCGCCUCUUCCCGACCGCGGCAGCCCCGACGGGAUGCCGAAGAGCCUCAGGAGAGGGCGGGCAGUGGAUCCCGGGGAGAGAAGCUGGGCACGGCGGGUCUGGUGUUUCCUUUCCGCGCUCACCUCCUUUUCCCUCGGUGACCUGCGCUUGA
This 1005-nucleotide long non-coding RNA is filed under the name Corvus moneduloides (New Caledonian crow). RNAcentral describes it as "lncRNA (ENSCMUG00000019182.1)". The record is from RNAcentral. Lineage: Eukaryota; Metazoa; Chordata; Aves; Passeriformes; Corvidae.